UGUCUUUCGAUUUAGUCACUUACUUGGUGGUUUUGGUUUUGGCCAGAAUAUGAUGCGAUUCGGUAUUUGGAUAGUUUAUGUGUAGCUCAUGGUAUAGUCAGGACUAUUCUAAGUUAUGCAAUAGAUCGCAGGUGCUCUACACGAAGACUCGGUCCUCCGUUUCUGUAGCCGGGGAAGGAGAUGAAAUUUAAGGUACAUUAGUUCACUUGUAUUUCAAAAGAUUAGAGAGUAAAACAAAGGGCGUGUUAUGGACUAUGGACACCUCUACAGAGAUGUUAUAAAGGGUUCGAAAUCGAUUUGCAUUUCAGGAAGGUGACGCAGCUUUAUAAACAUACCAGAAGGGAAUUCCCCUGUUUCGCUUAGAUCAGCUGUUCACAACGACAGAUUUGGAGUAGUGUAAAUGUGUAACCUGGUCAUCGAGUUUAGCCUUGUGUGACGACUCGGGUCCAGCAAACACCUUGAGGAGUGGAA
Molecule: long non-coding RNA, 471 nt
Filed under: Mizuhopecten yessoensis (Yesso scallop)
Lineage: Eukaryota; Metazoa; Mollusca; Bivalvia; Pectinida; Pectinidae
Description: uncharacterized LOC110463848, transcript variant X3
Source: RNAcentral